Molecule: transfer RNA, 69 nt
Filed under: Ictidomys tridecemlineatus (thirteen-lined ground squirrel)
Lineage: Eukaryota; Metazoa; Chordata; Mammalia; Rodentia; Sciuridae
Description: Spermophilus tridecemlineatus (thirteen-lined ground squirrel) tRNA
Rfam family: tRNA
About the family: Transfer RNA (tRNA) molecules are approximately 80 nucleotides in length. Their secondary structure includes four short double-helical elements and three loops (D, anti-codon, and T loops).
Source: Rfam by way of RNAcentral
GGAGCUGUAGCUCAGUGGUAGAGUGCUUGCCUAGCAUGCAUGAGGCACUGGGUUCUAUCCUCAGCGCCA